AGCCACAACGCAGACUCUAUGCAUUACAUAAUGGAGAUCACAGGAUGGUUGCACUGCCACGUCUACAGUAGCGCAGAAUAGACAGAGGAAACAGGAUUGGGCCUCACGUUUUUUGCUGCCAAUAUUCAUUAUCCUACAAACUAGGGAUAGGAGGGCCCACCCACCAGAAGCAGUCAGCCGUCUCCAUGUUCUUUAUAAAGCAGCAGCAGUCUGCCUCCUGCACACAGCUGCUGAUCACCCACCAGACCAGAUAGGCCUCGUCUCUCUCGUGUCGGCAAGAAGCAGCGUUCCAAGCCAAGAACCAACCGUCUUGCACAGCCAUCGGGGCGGCGGCAGUCAUGGGUUCAGGAAAAUCGUGCCACAUUGACAUUGAGAAUGAAUGUACUAUCUACAUACUUGUCAACCCAAGGAUAUACACUGAUAGUGGAGUCUGUGCUACACCUUUACCACCGACUGUUGCCCCUGGAGCCUGUAGGAAAGGGAUUGCAGAGUUCAGGAAGCAUGAAGGAACAGCUACAGGAUGUGUUGGCGUUGUUACCUACGAUCUCAUGAACAAGGAUACAAAUCUGACAGCUGAGAAAAUAGCUGUCAUGUUUUCUGCGCCCUUUAAUUUGAACCGGUACAAAAACUUGUACGCAUUGGGAGUUUUUGAUAAGUGCAUACGGUGUGAUAAGGCUUUUUAUCAUCAGAUGUGCUAUGAUGAACCAACCACGUUCAGCAGACAAGAUGCGGAUGGCUCCUGUCUCACUUAUGAGGGGGUUCACAUAACCAUCAAGGGAACAAUGUCAGAUACUGACAGACCUGUCAUCAAGGUGCAAGUUAGCCAAACAAGAAUUGAGUGAGUCAGCAGUGGCUCUCAAUAAUGAAUCAUCAGGGUUAAAGGUAUCAGAGUUUUCAUUUGCUCUCGUUAUCAAAUCAGUAAUUGCUUUGUACUCGGCUGCAUUUUGGGUCGUCUGUGUUACACAGAUACACAAAGUCACAUGACUUGAAAGCCUGCAACGUCUUAUACUAUUCUCUUUAUUUGUAUCUCUACACCCUUGAACACGUAUAAUUACUUUUACCGGGGUUCAAUUAUAUCACAACUUGUUAAGUCUGACAUUUGUGGGAAAAUGCUUUGAAAAUCUAAAUAAUUUCACUUUGUUAUGAUUCCCUUGUUAAUGAGAAAUAUGAUAUAAUAGUAAUAGGUUGUCUUUUUUCUUAUGUGUUGUGCUCCAUAUAUGAUUAAUACA
Gymnodraco acuticeps is the source of this 1229-nucleotide long non-coding RNA. RefSeq lists it as uncharacterized. The record is from RefSeq and is a predicted model, not a curated record. NCBI's taxonomy places the organism in Eukaryota, Metazoa, Chordata, Actinopteri, Perciformes, Bathydraconidae. The transcript is spliced from 6 exons.